GGGCAAUGGGCGAAAGCCUGACCCAGCAACGCCGCGUGGAGGAUGAAGGCUUUAGGGUUGUAAACUCCUUUUGUGGGGGAAAAGAAUGGAUGGUACCCCAAGAAUAAGUCACGGCUAACUACGUGCCAGCAGCCGCGGUAAUACGUAGGUGACAAGCGUUAUCCGGAAUUACUGGGCGUAAAGCGCACGCAGGCGGUCAGAUAAGUCUGAUGUGAAACCUUCUGGCUUAACCAGAAGACGUCGUUGGAUACUGUUUGACUUGAGGCGAUGAGAGGAAUGCGGAAUCCCCGGUGUAAUGGUGGAAUAUGUAGAUAUCGGGGGGAACAUCUGAGGCGAAAGCGGCAUUCUGGCAUUAGCCUGACGCUCAUGUGCGAAAGCGUGGGGAGCAAACGGGAUUAGAUACCCCGGUAGUCCACGCUGUAAACGAUGAAUACUAGGCGUAGGUGGAGUUAAACCCAUCUGUGCCGAAGCCAACGCAUUAAGUAUUCCGCCUGGGAAGUACGGCCGCAAGGCUAAAAACUC
This 522-nucleotide ribosomal RNA is filed under the name uncultured bacterium. RNAcentral's name for it is "bacterial SSU rRNA". It matches the Rfam family "Bacterial small subunit ribosomal RNA", at positions 366 to 902 of the family's 1533-position model. The record is from RNAcentral.